ACGAACGCUGGCGGCGUGCUUAACACAUGCAAGUCGAGCGGUAGGGCCUUUCGGGGUACACGAGCGGCGAACGGGUGAGUAACACGUGGGUGAUCUGCCCUGCACUCUGGGAUAAGCCUGGGAAACUGGGUCUAAUACUGGAUAUGACCUGCUCUCGCAUGGGGGUGGGUGGAAAGAUUUAUCGGUGCAGGAUGGGCCCGCGGCCUAUCAGCUUGUUGGUGGGGUAAUGGCCUACCAAGGCGACGACGGGUAGCCGACCUGAGAGGGUGACCGGCCACACUGGGACUGAGACACGGCCCAGACUCCUACGGGAGGCAGCAGUGGGGAAUAUUGCACAAUGGGCGGAAGCCUGAUGCAGCGACGCCGCGUGAGGGAUGAAGGCCUUCGGGUUGUAAACCUCUUUCAGCAGGGACGAAGCGUGAGUGACGGUACCUGCAGAAGAAGCACCGGCUAACUACGU
This 460-nucleotide ribosomal RNA is filed under the name uncultured bacterium. RNAcentral's name for it is "bacterial SSU rRNA". It matches the Rfam family "Bacterial small subunit ribosomal RNA", at positions 29 to 506 of the family's 1533-position model. The record is from RNAcentral.